Molecule: ribosomal RNA, 446 nt
Filed under: uncultured bacterium
Lineage: Bacteria
Description: partial 16S ribosomal RNA
Rfam family: Bacterial small subunit ribosomal RNA
Source: RNAcentral
CCUACGGGCGGCAGCAGUCGAGAAUCAUUCACAAUGGAGGAAACCCUGAUGGUGCGAAGCCGCGUGGGGGAAUGAAGGUCUUCGGAUUGUAAACUUCUGUUAUGUGGGAGCAAAUCAAAAAGAGAGUACCACAAGAGGAAGAGACGGCUAAUUCGGGGCCAGAAGCUGCGGUAAUACAGAGGGCCUAAGCGUUGUUCGGAAUGAGUGGGCGUAAAGUGUGCGUAGGGUGUUUCGUAAGUCGGUUGUGAAAGGCGCGGGCUCAACCCGCGGAGUGCACAUGAAACUGUGAGACUAGAGUAAUGGAGGGGGAGCCGGAAGUCGCGGUGUAGCAGUGAAAUGCGUAGAUAUCGAGAAGAACACUCGUGGCGAAGGCAGGUUCCUAAACAUUGACUGACGCUGAGGCACGAAGGCCAGGGGAUCGAAAGGGAUUAGAUACCCCAGUAGUC